CACCAUUCUGGUUUAUUUCCACCCCCAAAAAGUCAGCUGUUUUGGAGCAUGCAUUGCGAGUUCUUUUCGUUUAUUAAGUAGAUCCGGAGGGCGGCCAAAAAUAAACAACUUUCCAAUUCAAUUAAAAAGUUGUUUGAAGAUGACUAUUUUAACAAGAAUUAUCGUUUCCAAUUUGCCUCAACGCAUUGGUGCACUUAAAACACUUCAGCAAAGUGGCUACUGCACGCAUAUUAAAUUCGCUGAACAUAAGCCAAUAGAGAAAAUACGGAAUAUUGGUAUUUCGGCACAUAUUGACAGCGGCAAAACUACGCUCACCGAACGCAUUCUCUUCUACACCGGCCGUAUUGCUCAAAUGCAUGAGGUACGCGGCAAGGACAAUGUUGGUGCUACUAUGGAUUCAAUGGAAUUGGAGCGACAGCGCGGUAUAACUAUACAAUCUGCAGCCACUUAUACGAUUUGGAAGGAUACCAAUAUUAAUAUCAUUGACACACCCGGUCACGUGGAUUUCACAGUGGAAGUAGAACGUGCAUUACGUGUUUUAGAUGGCGCUGUGCUUGUACUCUGCGCUGUGGGUGGUGUACAAAGUCAAACAUUAACUGUAAACAGGCAAAUGAAACGUUAUAAUGUGCCUUGCUUGGCUUUCAUCAAUAAGCUGGAUCGCACAGGUGCAAACCCUUAUCGUGUGCUGUCGCAUAUGCGUUCAAAGAUGAAUCACAAUGCAGCUUUCAUACAAUUGCCAAUUGGUGUGGAGAGUGAUUGCAGGGGUAUUGUAGAUUUGGUGACUGAGAAGGCCAUUUAUUUCGAAGGCACACAUGGCAUGGAACUACGUUAUGAUGAGAUACCUCAGGACAUGCGCGCAGAGUCAGUCGAACGCCGCCAGGAGCUAAUUGAACAUCUUUCAAACGUAGACGAAACACUGGGCGAACUGUUCCUAGAGGAAAAGACACCAACGGAGGAUGAUAUAAAGAACGCCAUACGCCGUACUUGCAUCAAGCGCACGUUUACCCCUGUCAUGGUGGGCACUGCACUGAAAAAUAAAGGUGUCCAACCCUUAUUGGAUGCGGUUAUCGAGUACAUGCCUAAUCCAGGCCAGGUAGAGAAUGUCGCUUUCAUUGAAAAGGAAGGACAAGACCCUGAGAAAAUUGUACUCAAUCCUGCACGCGAUGGUAAAGCUCCAUUUAUCAGUCUGGCAUUCAAGUUAGAAGCUGGGCGCUUUGGACAGCUCACCUAUUUGCGUUGCUAUCAGGGUAUGUUGCAAAAGGGUGACAACAUCUUCAAUGCGCGUACAAAUAAGAAGGUGCGUGUUGCGCGUCUCGUGCGUUUGCACUCGAAUAAUAUGGAGGAUGUUAAUGAAGUUUACGCUGGAGAUAUUUUUGCACUCUUUGGUGUUGAUUGCGCUUCAGGAGAUACCUUCACCACAGAUCCUAAGGGAAACAUUUCAAUGGAGUCUAUUUUCGUACCAGAACCAGUUGUGUCCAUGGCAAUUAAGCCCAAUAAUGCUAAGGACAGGGAUAAUUUCGCAAAGGCAGUGGCGCGUUUCACUAAAGAAGACCCCACCUUCCAUUUCUUCUUUGAUGCUGAUGUGAAAGAAACGCUCGUUUCUGGAAUGGGUGAAUUACAUUUGGAAAUAUAUGCUCAACGUAUGGAGCGUGAAUAUGGCUGCCCCGUCACAUUGGGUAAACCCAAGGUUGCUUUCCGUGAAACACUCGUUAGUCCUUGUGAAUUUGACUACCUGCACAAGAAACAGUCAGGCGGUUCGGGUCAGUAUGCGCGCAUUAUUGGCGUCCUGGAGCCACUGCCACCAGAUCAAAACACACUGCUCGAGUUUGUCGAUGAUACUAUGGGUACAAAUGUGCCCAAACAAUUUGUGCCCGGUGUGGAGAAGGGCUUCCGAGAAAUGGCUGAACGCGGCAUGCUCUCUGGACACCGACUAUCUGGUGUACGUUUCCGCCUAAUCGAUGGAGGACAUCACAUUGUGGAUUCCAGCGAAUUGGCUUUCAUGUUGGCAGCGCAUGGUGCAGUGAAAGAAGUGUUCCAAAUGGGUUCUUGGCAAAUUUUAGAACCUAUAAUGAUGGUAGAGGUUACCGCGCCAGAGGAAUUCCAAGGAGCAGUUAUGGGACAGUUGAGUAAACGUCAUGGCAUUAUUACGGGCACCGAUGGUGCAGAGGGUUGGUUCACUGUGUACGCAGAAGUGCCAUUGAACGACAUGUUCGGCUAUGCUGGAGAAUUGCGUUCAAGCACUCAAGGCAAAGGUGAGUUUACAAUGGAAUAUUCACGUUACUCCCCUUGUCUGCCAGAUGUGCAGGAACAAUUGGUGCGUCAAUAUCAGGAAUCGCAAGGAUUAGGACAGGAGAAGAAGAAAAAGAAAAACUGAAAAGGUGUAGCCAUAAUCGACAUUCAAUACUAAUUUAUUUAAGGACUACAUACGAGUACUCCAUUUUUUUUUCGAAAUGUAAUAAAAAGUGACAGCAAUAAGCCACAGAUAUGAGGCUGAAGACCACUAAAAAGGUUAUUGUUUAAAAUUACUUCGUUUAUUGCAAAAAUACAGCACUACCAGUUCGAUUAUGGAGAUCGAGGAAUGGAUAGUUGGUACUACCCAAAAACAACCGGAUAAUUUGAGUUAAUCUUGGCAGCACCAAGAGAAAUGCCUG
Molecule: RNA transcript, 2651 nt
Organism: Rhagoletis zephyria (snowberry fruit fly)
Lineage: Eukaryota; Metazoa; Arthropoda; Insecta; Diptera; Tephritidae
Gene: mEFG1
Gene name: mitochondrial translation elongation factor G 1
Source: RefSeq, a predicted model, not a curated record